GGAUAAGUAGAUAUGUACAAAAAAAUGGCACUAUGUUAAGUAGUUUUUUUUUUAAUAUAUGAGGCAAACGAGCAGUGCCCACGAACAGAGCUCGUAUCAGAAGAUUUAUAGAGAUGUACAAAGGAAUGGCGUUAUGUUAAGUAGAAGUAUUUUUUUUAAAUAUAGGAGGCAAACGAGCAGAACCCAUGAACAGAGCUCAUGUCAUAAGAUUUGUAGAGAUGUACGAAGGAAUGGCGUUAUGUUAAGUAGAAGUAUUUUUUUUAAUACAGGAGGCAAACGAGCAGAGCCCAUGAACAGAGGUCGUAUCAUAAGAUUUGUAGAUAUGUACAUAGAAAUGGCGCUAUGUUAAGUAGAAGUAUUUUUUUAAAUAUAGGAGGCAAAUGAGCAGAGCCCAUGAACAGAGGUUGUAUCAUAGGAUAAGUAGAUUUGUACAAAGAAAUGGCACUAUGUUAAGUAGAAUUUAUUUUUUUUAAUAUAGGAGGCAAACGAGCAGAGCCCACGAACAGAGCUCGUAUCAGAAGACUUAUAGAGAUGUACAAAGGAAUGGCGUUAUGUUAAGUAGAAGUAUUUUUUUUAAUAUAGGAGGCAAACGAGCAGAACCCAUGAACAGAGCUCAUAUCAUAAGAUUUGUAGAGAUGUAAAAAGGAAUGGCGUUAUGUUAAGUAGAAGAUUUUUUUUAAAUACAGGAGGCAAACGAGCAGAGCCCAUGAACAGAGGUCGUAUCAUAUGAUUUGUAGAUAUGUACAUAGAAAUGGCGCUAUGUUAAGUAGAAGUAUUUUUUUAAAUAUAGGAGGCAAAUGAGCAGAGCCCAUGAACAGAGGUUGUAUCAUAGGAUAAGUAGAUAUGUACAAAAAAAUGGCACUAUGUUAAGUAGAAUUUAUUUUUUUUAAUAUAGGAGGCAAACGAGCAGAGCCCACGAACAGAGCUCGUACCAGAAAAUUUAUAGAGAUGUACAAAGGAAUGGCGUUAUGUUAAGUAGAAGUAUUUUUUUAAUAUAGGAGGCAAACGAGCAGAACCCAUGAACAGAGCUCAUAUCAUAAGAUUUGUAGAGAUGUACAAAGGAAUGGCGUUAUGUUAAGUAGAAGUAUUUUUUUAAAUACAGGAGGCAAACGAGCAGAGCCCAUGAACAGAGGUCGUACCUAUCAUAGGAUAAGUAGAUAUAUAUGUACAAAGAAACAGCGGUAUGUUAAGUAGAUUUUUUUAUAUAGUAGGCAAACGAGCAGAGCCCAUGAACAGAGGUCAUACUCUUAUCAUAGAAUUGGUAGAUAUGUACAAAGAAACAGCGCUAUGUUAAGUAGAAUCGAUUUUUUUUAAGUUUUGCUAAACGAGCAGAACUCAUGAACAGAGUUCGUAUCAUAAGAUUUGUAGAUAUGUACAUAGAAAUGGCGCUAUGUUAAGUAGAAGUAUUUUUUUAAAUAUAGGAGGCAAAUGAGCAGAGCCCAUGAACAGAGGUUGUAUCAUAGGAUAAGUAGAUAUGUACAAAGAAAUAGCACUAUGUUAAGUAGAAUUUAUUCUUUUUAAUAUAGGAGGCAAACGAGCAGAGCCCACGAACAGAGCUCGUAUCAGAAGAUUUAUAGAGAUGUACAAAAGAAUGGCGUUAUGUUAAGUAGAAGUAUUUUUUUUAAUAUAGGAGGCAAACGAGCAGAACCCAUGAACAGAGCUCAUAUCAUAAGAUUUGUAGAGAUGUACAAAGGAAUGGCGUUAUGUUAAGUAGAAGUAUUUUUUUAAAUACAGGAGGCAAACGAGCAGAGCCCAUGAACAGAGGUCGUAUCAUAAGAUUUGUAGAUAUGUACAUAGAAAUGGCGCUAUGUUAAGUAGAAGUAUUUUUUUAAAUAUAGGAGGCAAAUGAGCAGAGCCCAUGAACAGAGGUUGUAUCAUAGGAUAAGUAGAUAUGUACAAAGAAAUGGCACUAUGUUAAGUAGAAUUUUUUUUUUUAUAUAGGGGGCAAACGAGCAGAGCCCACGAACAGAGCUCGUAUCAGAAGAUUUAAAGAGAUGUACAAAGGAAUGGCGUUAUGUUAAGUAGAAGUAUUUUUUUUAAUAUAGGAGGCAAACGAGCAGAGCCCAUGAACAGAGGUCGUAUCAUAAGAUUUGUAGAGAUGUACAAAGAAAUGGCGUUAUGUUAAGUAGAAGUAUUUUUUUAAAUACAGGAGGCAAACGAGCAGAGCCCAUGAACAGAGGUCGUAUCUUAAGAUUUGUAGAUAUGUACAUAGAAAUGGCGCUAUGUUAAGUAGAAGUAUUUUUUUAAAUAUAGGAGGCAUAGGAUCAGAGCCCAGGAACAGAGCUCGUAUCAGAAGAUUUAUAGAGAUGUACAAAGGAAUGGCGUUAUGUUAAGUAGAAGUAUUUUUUUUUAAAUAUAGGAGGCAAACGAGCAGAACCCAUGAACAGAGCUCAUAUCAUAAGAUUUGUAGAGAUGUACAAAGGAAUGUAUGACCUAUUAUUCACCUCGUAAAUUAUUUGCAGGUGACUAAAUAAACACCCUGUAUAUAUUUGUUGUUGUAUUAACAAAUCAAGCAUUUACAUUAAAAAAGUGAGUGACAUUUAAUUAAGUGUAACUACUGAUGAAGACCAGACGGAACACCUCAACUACGCGUAUUUCACGUUUGGCGAUAUCUUCUUCGUUGAGAUUGUUCUGCAAGUUAUUUUUUAAGCUUCAUUUUAGUCAAGAUCUAUUUCUGAUAAUGGAUCCCAGGAAUAAUGGAUGAAACUCUUCAAAUAUUUUACAUACAGUAUAUUUUUAUAUUUGCAUUUAAACAGUGCUAUUUGGUGAAACGUGUUCAUGAAGAUUAGAAUAUAACUUCUCCUUGACAAGUAUUUUACGAGUUAGGGCUUAGGUAUAUUAUAUGGGCUUACCUAUGGGCUAUUGUUUUUCAUUCAAUAGUUUACAUAUGUGAAAGAGAAAGUAUAACAAUAUGCUUGUUAGACUAAAAUAGCUUUAGUUUUGUUAAGUUCAAAAACUUAGUAGGUGAUAAUUAUAACAUAGGUAUAGAAUCUUCAAAAAUAAAACAGUAGAUACAAAGCAGGUGUUAUUGGCCCGUCUUUAUAUAUAGAAAAUCGAUGGCAUGAUUCCUAGGAACAGAUCUUCGUAUGUGUUAUAGUUUCAAACUUUCCCAUACUGAACGAUCUAAAUAGGCCACCAUGUAUACCCUACGGAACAUUUUAUUUCGUUGGAUGAAUUUAGGGUGUAGGGGAGAAACUACCCAAUUAUGAGCUACUUACUGAAAACUAUCAUUAAUAGACAAUUGUAAGGAUAUUUAACAUUGCCAAAAUAAGGUUAAAGGUGCCCUCUAGUAGUACUUAGUCGAUAUUGUGAUACAAUGAAUGGUAUUAUAAACAUUUUUCUUUUUUCAUAUACUAUGGAUAUUCCUCGAUGGCACCAAGCUGCAACUGGAAAGCGAUGAUCACACGGCAAAUAAAAUCGUGAAGACUGUAGCAGCCACGUCUAAGGAGGAUGAAUGUAUCCACAUUCAAUAUUUUUUAUUUAUUUUUUGUUUGAUAUGUAAAAAUGCACGUCAAUAAGGUGGCAAACUAUUAUUAACAGAGACCGGAAUUAUUGUGGCAUUCUUGAACUGUCA
Molecule: long non-coding RNA, 3574 nt
Organism: Cydia pomonella (codling moth)
Lineage: Eukaryota; Metazoa; Arthropoda; Insecta; Lepidoptera; Tortricidae
Exons: 2
Source: RefSeq, a predicted model, not a curated record